CCUACGGGAGGCAGCAGUGGGGAAUAUUGCACAAUGGGGGAAACCCUGAUGCAGCGACGCCGCGUGAGUGAAGAAGUAUUUCGGUAUGUAAAGCUCUAUGAGCAGGGAAGAAAAUGACGGUACCUGACUAAGAAGCCCCGGCUAACUACGUGCCAGCAGCCGCGGUAAUACGUAGGGGGCAAGCGUUAUCCGGAUUUACUGGGUGUAAAGGGAGCGUAGACGGCCAGACAAGUCAGAAGUGAAAGCCCAGGGCUCAACCCUGGGACUGCUUUUGAAACUGCCGGGCUGGAGUGCAGGAGAGGUAAGCGGAAUUCCUAGUGUAGCGGUGAAAUGCGUAGAUAUCGCGCAGAACCCCGAUGGCGAAGGCAGCGUACCGGCUCCACACUGACGCUGAGGCACGAAAGCGUGGGUAGCGAACAGGAUUAGAUACCCCUGUAGUC
RNAcentral lists this ribosomal RNA (440 nucleotides) under uncultured bacterium. RNAcentral's name for it is "partial 16S ribosomal RNA". It matches the Rfam family "Bacterial small subunit ribosomal RNA", at positions 338 to 795 of the family's 1533-position model. The record is from RNAcentral.